This 553-nucleotide ribosomal RNA is filed under the name Allobates tapajos group sp. ABGD cluster 63. RNAcentral describes it as "partial large subunit ribosomal RNA". It matches the Rfam family "Bacterial large subunit ribosomal RNA", at positions 1808 to 2575 of the family's 2925-position model. The record is from RNAcentral. Lineage: Eukaryota; Metazoa; Chordata; Amphibia; Anura; Aromobatidae.
CAAAAACAUCGCCUCUUGACUAACCAUAAGAGGUCAAGCCUGCCCAGUGACAUUGUUCAACGGCCGCGGUAUCCUAACCGUGCGAAGGUAGCGUAAUCACUUGUUCUUUAAAUGAGGACUAGUAUGAAUGGCUUCACGAAAGCUAUGCUGUCUCCUUUAUUCAAUCAGUAAAACUAAUCUCCCCGUGAAGAAGCGGGGAUACACCUAUAAGACGAGAAGACCCUAUGGAGCUUUAAACAUCUUAAAACAUUUGAGUACACUAUUAAACUUCUGCAAAUUUCAUCAAGCCCCUCAUUCUGCUUUAAGUUUUAGGUUGGGGUGACCACGGAGAACAGCCUACCCUCCACGUAGAAAGAACCUUUUUUCUAAGCAAAAAGCUACAUCUUUAUGCAUCAACACAUUGACCUAAAUUGACCCAAUUACUUGAUCAACGAACCAAGUUACCCUAGGGAUAACAGCGCAAUCCGCCUUAAGAGCUCUUAUCGACAGGCGGGCUUACGACCUCGAUGUUGGAUCAGGGUAUCCUAGUGGUGCAGCAGCUACUAACGGUUCG